Molecule: ribosomal RNA, 710 nt
Filed under: Mucuna hainanensis
Lineage: Eukaryota; Viridiplantae; Streptophyta; Magnoliopsida; Fabales; Fabaceae
Description: eukaryotic LSU rRNA
Rfam family: 5.8S ribosomal RNA (bases 306-461)
Source: RNAcentral
AAGUCGUAACAAGGUUUCCGUAGGUGAACCUGCGGAAGGAUCAUUGUCGUUGCCUCACAAUCAGUUCGACCGGUGAAUCUGUUUAUCAUCCACCCUCACCGGGGCCAGGUCGGGGUUGUUGUUCUCGAACACGCACCUCGUCCUUCCUCGGAUUGGCGGGAGGUGGUCGCCUCGUGCUGCCCUCCUCCCGUCGAACAAAAACCCCGGCGCUUCGUGUGCCAAGGAAUUUGAAAUUGUUCGGUGCAAUUUUCGCGGACCCGGAGACGGUGAUCUCGCGGACCUUGCCACGACACACGUUACAAAAUGACUCUCGGCAACGGAUAUCUCGGCUCUUGCAUCGAUGAAGAACGUAGCGAAAUGCGAUACUUGGUGUGAAUUGCAGAAUCCCGUGAACCAUCGAGUCUUUGAACGCAAGUUGCGCCCGAAGCCAUUAGGUUGAGGGCACGCCUGCCUGGGUGUCACACAUCGUUACCCUAAAGCAAACGCCUCAUGUGCGUGUGCAGGGUGGAAGCUGACCUCCCGUGGGCCACGACUCGCGGCUGGUUGAAAAUGGAGUUCAUGGUUGAGAAUGCCGUGAUAAAAUGGUGGAUGAGCGUCGCUCGAGACCAAUCGCGUGCGACUCGGUCAAUUUUGGACUCUUUCGACCCAAUUGCGUCCACGGACGCUCCCAACGAGACCUCAGGUCAGGCGGGGCCACCCGCUGAGUUUAA